GCGAUCGUAGGCUAUCGCUGACUACGGAUCAGAAGGUUGGGGGUUCGAGUCCUCCCGGGCGCGCCA
Molecule: transfer RNA, 66 nt
Filed under: Rhodospirillales bacterium
Lineage: Bacteria; Pseudomonadati; Pseudomonadota; Alphaproteobacteria; Rhodospirillales
Description: tRNA-Ser
Source: RNAcentral